Molecule: ribosomal RNA, 253 nt
Filed under: uncultured bacterium
Lineage: Bacteria
Description: partial 16S ribosomal RNA
Rfam family: Bacterial small subunit ribosomal RNA
Source: RNAcentral
UACGUAGGGUGCGAGCGUUAAUCGGAAUUACUGGGCGUAAAGCGUGCGCAGGCGGCUUGCCAAGUCAGAUGUGAAAGCCCCGGGCUCAACCCGGGAACGGCGUUUGAAACUGGCAGGCUAGAGUUUGGCAGAGGGGGGUGGAAUUCCACGUGUAGCAGUGAAAUGCGUAGAUAUCGGGAGGAACACCUGUGACGAAAGCGGCUCACUGGACCGCAACUGACGCUGAGGCGCGAAAGCUAGGGGAGCAAACAGG